Molecule: ribosomal RNA, 434 nt
Filed under: uncultured Lachnospiraceae bacterium
Lineage: Bacteria; Bacillati; Bacillota; Clostridia; Lachnospirales; Lachnospiraceae
Description: partial 16S ribosomal RNA
Rfam family: Bacterial small subunit ribosomal RNA
Source: RNAcentral
ACGGGAGGCAGCAGUGGGGAAUAUUGCACAAUGGGGGAAACCCUGAUGCAGCGACGCCGCGUGAGUGAAGAAGUAUUUCGGUAUGUAAAGCUCUAUCAGCAGGGAAGAUAAUGACGGUACCUGACUAAGAAGCACCGGCUAAAUACGUGCCAGCAGCCGCGGUAAUACGUAUGGUGCAAGCGUUAUCCGGAUUUACUGGGUGUAAAGGGAGCGUAGACGGCAUGGCAAGUCUGAAGUGAAAGCCUGAGGCUCAACCCCGGAACUGCUUUGGAAACUGUUAAGCUAGAGUGCAGGAGAGGUAAGUGGAAUUCCUAGUGUAGCGGUGAAAUGCGUAGAUAUUAGGAGGAACACCAGUGGCGAAGGCGGCUUACUGGACUGUAACUGACGUUGAGGCUCGAAAGCGUGGGGAGCAAACAGGAUUAGAUACCCUGGUA